GAGCUAGGAGAGACCAGCGGGCGGUAGCUGCGGCGAGUGGCCUCUCCGUGCGGCACAGAGGCAAGAAGCAGCCAUCCAUCCAGAAGCAGCCUCCGUGUUCCGUUUGUCCGGAUGUCAUCGUAGGUGGCCGGCAUCUCUGGCUUUGGGGCAGACAUCCUGCACUACAUUCCAGAUCUGAUGAGGCAUGGCUGCCCCAGGAUUACUGGGCUCGGACGGGAGCAGUGGUAGGAAGGAUCCUAUAUAAGUCAUGUGAGACAUAGAAUGUUCAGAUCAACUGAAGCUGAAACAAGCCUUUGGCAUCAUAUAUAACCCAGAAAGGGACAAAGCUGCAGGUUCCUUGAAUGCUUGGUUUAUGUGCCUGGCUGGAGGAGACACCCAUGGCCUUGCAGAGGGAGCGUUCUGGUGGGAAAGCAGACACAACCCACCCUAGGCCCGUGGUUUCCCUGCAAGAAGCCCAGUGGCUUUCUGGAGGACACUUUUCCUGGAGGAAGUGACUCAAGAGCAGCAUAAGCCAGGCUCUAUGGAAUGUUGGGUGAGCUGCUUGAGGAACUCCAAGGCCUGUCCCACAGUCUUCCAGCCUCCGACUCUCCGGCCCUCAGCGAGGAAGUCCCACUGGUUUUUUUGGUUGGUUUUUUUUUUUUUUUUUAAGGUUUUUUGGUUUUUUUUUUUUUUUCUCAUUCCUGUCUUGGGAGCUUUCCCCAACCAGGAGAGUGAAGAUGGGCGGAGCUGUCACACCAACUGUUAGCCUGCCUUGGCUGAGAGGAGAGGAGGCGAGGAGGGAGCGACCACCCAGCUUUAGUCGUUUUAAAACAGCUCCUGACCCUAGAAGAAGGGAAAUGGAGAUGAAGACCCAAUUGACUUGGCUUCCCUCCCUCCCAGUGCUGAUUUCCUGUGGACCAGAUUCCAGCACAGUGGAGGGCCAGAGCUCAGGGAACAGACCCAGCAGCACAGCAAGUCUCCAAGGAAAGCUCUAGCAGUCUCCAGGGGCUGAAGGCAGGACUGGGGAAGCGGCUAGCCAGGCUGCAGAAGGCAAAUGCUCCCAGACGGCUGUCCAGCACGCAUCCGCCUUCCUAGCCAAGUUUCCUGGGCUCCUGCCACAGAUCUAAGCCUCAUCCUGACAUCCUGCCCUCUGUGCUCUGGGAUGGCCCAGGGGAGAUGCUUAGCCUUGGCUCCUUGUCUGCUGGUGGAGGGGACACACACCCUUUCUGGACCACAGACCAAAAAGAAGACCUGACGUCAUCCUGAGCACCCCCGCCAUGCAGAGUGUGUUCGCAGACUGCCAACGGGCUGGCUCCGGCCAGCAGAAGUGAACAGAGGUGGAGGUUCAGCCUGACAGCUUCUCCCCAAAGCCAUGGAGAGAAAACCUUACCACCCCCACCGCCCAGCUACUUCCAGCAAGUUGUCCAGCCUGACCCCUCUAUUUCCCCUGUUGUCUCUUAUCUGGGUCCCUGAGACCCACCCCAUCUCCAAUAAAGAACAUUGCAUACUGUG
RNAcentral lists this long non-coding RNA (1491 nucleotides) under Mus musculus (house mouse). RNAcentral's name for it is "predicted gene 3764". The record is from RNAcentral. Lineage: Eukaryota; Metazoa; Chordata; Mammalia; Rodentia; Muridae.